RNAcentral lists this ribosomal RNA (253 nucleotides) under uncultured bacterium. Its description in RNAcentral is "partial 16S ribosomal RNA". It matches the Rfam family "Bacterial small subunit ribosomal RNA", at positions 524 to 776 of the family's 1533-position model. The record is from RNAcentral.
UACGGAGGGUGCAAGCGUUAUCCGGAUUCACUGGGUUUAAAGGGUGCGUAGGGGGGUUAGUAAGUCCGUGGUGAAAUCUCCAAGCUUAACUUGGAAACUGCCGUGGAUACUAUUAGUCUUGAAUGUUGUGGAGGUAAGCGGAAUAUGUCAUGUAGCGGUGAAAUGCUUAGAUAUGACAUAGAACACCGAUAGCGGAGGCAGCUUGCUGCACAAUGAUUGACACUGAGGCACGAAAGCGUGGGGAUCAAACAGG